Long non-coding RNA from Numida meleagris (helmeted guineafowl), 3071 nucleotides. RefSeq lists it as uncharacterized. The record is from RefSeq and is a predicted model, not a curated record. NCBI's taxonomy places the organism in Eukaryota, Metazoa, Chordata, Aves, Galliformes, Numididae. The transcript is spliced from 7 exons.
GCUGCGGCGGUUGGGCGGGAUGGGGCGCUGAGGGAGCCCAGGGGGUUGCCUCGGGGCUGCUGGGUGCUGAGACUCGGCCCCCGAGGGGUCGGGUGCGUCCGCGCCGGGAAUAGACAUCUUCAUCAGUGACCUCAGGGAGGGGAUAGAGUGCGCCCUCGGCGAGUUUGCUGGUGGCACCAGGUUUGGAGGAAUGGCUGACACACCAGAAGGCUGUGCUGCCAUUCAGCGAGACCCGGGCUGGUUGGAGAGUUGGGCAGAGAGGAACCUGAUGAGGUUCCGUAAGGAUUGUAAAUCAAGUUGCGUUCUAAUGGGCUGUGAGGAGCAUUGCUGCUUUUGAGGAACGAAGUCUGCCACAUCUAUAUAUCAAAAUACUUGAAGACGUGCUGAUUUACUCUGCAAAGAAUUAGCUUGCUUGCUGAUGCUUAUGUGUCUCUUACACAUCAUGCAGAGCUGCUGGAUGUUCAUAGCAACAACUCCUCAAUAAGGACCCUUCCCUGUGGUUCUGGCAGGGCGUUUCAGCUAUGUCCAGGGGCUGUACAUCCUUCAGCAGUGUUCCUUAAAGUUUCUCGUUUCUCGGGUGGUGCUUUACUGCCAGACAUCAGAUGGAAUUACUCCUUGUUUUGACAAAGCAAGGAUGAAUGAAGAAUUAGCUUAAAAAUGCAAGAUUUAUACUUCCCAUGAACUAAGCUGUGAUGCACAGAUCCACCCUUGCGAAGCUCAGCAGUAAGUGAAUUUGCAGUAGAAAUAUCACACGUGGCUCCUUCAGCUCUUCCUUGCUUAUCCUGAUGAGCUUCUUUUACUGCUCUCUUCCAGACUCCUGUGCUACUCAGAAUUGCCUCUUCCAAGAGAUAGAACAUCUUCAAGCAAGCAGCAACAUGAAGAAUAAUAAAGGGCCUGUACACUCAGCAAGAGUAUUUACACGCUAAAUUGAUACAUGAAUCUACAAGGCUGUCAAUUAUGUUCUAAGCAUGCUUGAAGCAAUGGGCGUGAAACCUGUGCAACCAGCGACUUGUCACCGAAGCCCUUACUCAUUUUGCAAAGAAAGCAAAUAAAAAGAAUUGUUAUUAGUAACAAUGGGUGAGAUUCACUCGAGCUGAUCUGGGAAAAUCUAGAUGACAGUCUUCCAGCCAAACAUUUGCUUGUGUAUCUAAAGCUUCACCCAGUGACACAUGGAACAUUGUCACUGACAACAGGACGCAGCUGUCAGGCAGGUUUUGUGCCUUUUGGCCAGGGCAUGCUUAGCAGGGUCUGAGCCCUAAGAUAAGUGAAAUAAUGCACACGUUCCAGAGUUUGGCUCAAAAAUAUAUAUAUAUAUUCCCAGGAUCCCCUAAAUGCUACCAUACUGGAACGGAUUUUUUUACUGUUGAUUAUAUAUGUUGUAUUAUACAUGACUGUUUAUACUGACCAUCUCAUUCUGAAAAAAAAUUACUUACCAUACAUAUUACUAAAAUUACUACAGUUCCUAUUAUCAAAUCUUUUGAAGCAGUAUUUCUUCCUUUUUUUAAUAAUGCUUUCAUCUCCCUCCCACCCUUGAUCAAGGAAUUGUUUGUAGGACUGCUGCUGGCUGUUUUUAGAGUAAGUCCUUGUUGUUAUUUGGGUGGGGAGGAAAGGAGGACCACACACAGAUCUAAAGCAUACUUUGAUAAGUCAGAUUUCAAUCCAGUUUAUGUUACUGACAUUAUUUUUUUCCCAGCAAACAAUAAAUACUGUUUUGAUUUACUGAUGGGUGUUGCUUCUCAGUGAUAAAAAAAUUUAGUAGCCUAUACUGUCAUCACAACUUCCCUGUAAACAAGAAGGUUAAAAACAUCUCCUUAUCUGCUUGUGUGGCUUCUGUUACCCCUGAGUGCCUGUCAGUCUGAACUAAAGUACCCUCACAAGAACUACAGCACACGAUGACCAUCAAUACCAGGCACAGACAGGAAACUGGGUCCUGCAAGACCCAGCAGCAUGGUGCUGCUCACUGCUUUGUGCAGAGGUGAGGGGCACUGAUUUCCCUGCCUCACCCCUCAGCCUGUGAGGGUCAGUCCUUUAGAGUCUUGGGGGCUACAGCACCAGGGCAGGCCAGUUUUGAACACAGACAAGCUGUCUGUUCUGGUUAGAGUGGAUUGUGUGGAAAAAAGAAUGUAAGUAAGUUGCACAGGUCAAGAAAGAAGAAAAAACUGUCCAAAGGGAAAAAUUAAAAAUAAAAAAGCUGUUCCUGUUUGCAGUAAGAGGUGUGCCUGUGGCUGUUAAGAGAGACCACAGUGCUUGUGGCAGUGGGUGUUGUCAGUGUUUUCCUGCUGUGGUCCAACUCAGAAAAACUCAGAGAAACUGGGGCCAACACAUUGACAAAGGUCCGGUGGUGUCUGCCAGGGUACUGCAGAAGGGAGUAUUUGUGAUGGUAACAGCACAAACACUGAGCUGGUCAGUUAUCGGUGAGCAUCUUCAGUCACAGGAAAAUGUAAAAUUAGCACAAAUUGUUAUCAGUAUUUUUUUUUUUUGUCCAUCAGCAUAACAUUUCUCUUGUUCAAGUUCAUCUGUAAGACAACUGUUUUCCAUCAGCUAAUGUGAAGAUAGGAUCCUAAUUUCACAGGACUGCUGUUAUUAAACAUGCUGUAGUUACGUAAAGCCCCAUGCCAUCUCUAUGCUGCUGGUGCCCUUUCCUCUGACCAGCACCUUGUACCUGACAGAACCUGGCAGCGCUGAUGCAGCCCAGCCUUUUCUCUGCUGCCCCUUCUCUAGGGGAUUCAUGUCAUUCUUCUGGGUUUUCUAAUUUGGGCUCCAAAAUUCACUUUCUGAGAUACAGUUGCCCUCUUUCCAAACAAUAUGUUUUACAAUGACAAUCCACCACAGCAAAACAUCCACUAUCCCUAAAGGAACGGAGAUUUCUCCAUUAACAUUCCCCUAACACUCUUAUGAUAAUCAUCAGCUAUGCACCUGGCAAUAACUGCAAACCACAACCAUGCAGCAUUCUGAGCGUUGAGAAGAUCAACACAUGUAUUCAUGGCAGAUUAGAGGAAUAAAAGGUUUGCAUGCUUUGUGCAGAUUGGGAUGCAUAGCUGCAUGGUGUGGAAAGGAUAAAGUAAUUUUCA